This 25-nucleotide ribosomal RNA is filed under the name Curvularia lunata. Its description in RNAcentral is "partial 18S ribosomal RNA". Lineage: Eukaryota; Fungi; Ascomycota; Dothideomycetes; Pleosporales; Pleosporaceae. The record is from RNAcentral. RNAcentral also lists the same sequence under 1 other name.
UAGGUGACCUGCGGAGGGAUCAUUA